GUCCACGCCGUAAACGAUGUCAACUAGUUGUUGGGUAUAUAAAGAUACUUAGUGACGCAGCUAACGCGAUAAGUUGACCGCCUGGGGAGUACGGUCGCAAGACUAAAACUCAAAUGAAUUGACGGGGGCCCGCACAAGCGGUGGAGCAUGUGGUUUAAUUCGAUGCAACGCGAAGAACCUUACCAGGUCUUGACAUCCAGAGAAUCUUUCAGAGAUGAGAGAGUGCCUUCGGGAAUUCUGAGA
RNAcentral lists this ribosomal RNA (243 nucleotides) under uncultured bacterium. RNAcentral's name for it is "partial 16S ribosomal RNA". It matches the Rfam family "Bacterial small subunit ribosomal RNA", at positions 793 to 1034 of the family's 1533-position model. The record is from RNAcentral.